CAAGUACCCCACGGGUGCCCAUGAAGAAGUGGGCUGAGAUAGGCGCAGAUACCGCACCUAGACCGUUUGAACCUGUCUGGUUAGCACCAGCGAAGGAAGAGAGGAAGGCGCCAUGA
This 116-nucleotide non-coding RNA is filed under the name Corynebacterium striatum. RNAcentral describes it as "TPP sequence". It matches the Rfam family "TPP riboswitch aptamer (THI element)". From Rfam's summary of the family: Vitamin B(1) in its active form thiamin pyrophosphate (TPP) is an essential coenzyme that is synthesised by coupling of pyrimidine and thiazole moieties in bacteria. The previously detected thiamin-regulatory element, thi box was extended, resulting in a new, highly conserved RNA secondary structure, the THI element, which is widely distributed in eubacteria and also occurs in some archaea. Lineage: Bacteria; Bacillati; Actinomycetota; Actinomycetes; Mycobacteriales; Corynebacteriaceae. The record is from RNAcentral.